UGCGUGACAUGUGCCUCCCUCACAAACCUUGUUACGACAUCGGCACAUUACCUGUCUGACGUG
RNAcentral lists this small RNA (63 nucleotides) under Cervus elaphus hippelaphus. It matches the Rfam family "Small nucleolar RNA U13", at positions 46 to 104 of the family's 104-position model. Lineage: Eukaryota; Metazoa; Chordata; Mammalia; Artiodactyla; Cervidae. The record is from RNAcentral.